UACGUAGGGGGGCAAGCGUUGUCCGGAAUUAUUGGGCGUAAAGAGCGUGUAGGCGGCCAGAUAAGUCCGCUGUGAAAUCUCGAGGCUCAACUUCGAGCUGUCGGUGGAAACUAUCUGGCUAGAGUCCGGAAGAGGAGAAUGGAAUUCCUGGUGUAGCGGUGGAAUGCGCAGAUAUCAGGAGGAACACCGGUGGCGAAGGCGGGUCUCUGGGCAGUAACUGACGCUGGAGGAGCGAAAGCGUGGGGAGCGAACAGG
This 255-nucleotide ribosomal RNA is filed under the name uncultured bacterium. RNAcentral's name for it is "partial 16S ribosomal RNA". It matches the Rfam family "Bacterial small subunit ribosomal RNA", at positions 524 to 776 of the family's 1533-position model. The record is from RNAcentral.